Molecule: ribosomal RNA, 911 nt
Filed under: Hyphoderma tenue
Lineage: Eukaryota; Fungi; Basidiomycota; Agaricomycetes; Polyporales; Hyphodermataceae
Description: LSU rRNA
Rfam family: Eukaryotic large subunit ribosomal RNA
Source: RNAcentral
GCAUAUCAAUAAGCGGAGGAAAAGAAACUAACAAGGAUUCCCCUAGUAACUGCGAGUGAAGCGGGAAGAGCUCAAAUUUAAAAUCUGACGGUUCUGCCGUCCGAGUUGUAAUCUGGAGAAGCGUUUUCUGUGCUGGACCGUGCAUAAGUGUCUUGGAAUAGGACGUCAUAGAGGGUGAGAAUCCCGUCUUUGGCACGGACUACCAGUGCUCUGUGAUACGCUCUCAAAGAGUCGAGUUGUUUGGGAAUGCAGCUCAAAAUGGGUGGUAAAUUCCAUCUAAAGCUAAAUAUAGGCGAGAGACCGAUAGCGAACAAGUACCGUGAGGGAAAGAUGAAAAGCACUUUGGAAAGAGAGUUAAACAGUACGUGAAAUUGUUGAAAGGGAAACGCUUGAAGUCAGUCGCGUUGUCCAGGACUCAACCUCAGUUUUCUUUGGUGUAUUUCCUGGUUAACGGGUCAACAUCAAUUUUGAUCGGUGGACAAAGGCAGAGGGAAUGUGGCACCUUCGGGUGUGUUAUAGCCCCUUGUCAUAUACACCGGUUGGGAUUGAGGAUAUCACGCCCUCGGCGGUAGGAUGUUGACAUAAUGGCUUUAAGCGACCCGUCUUGAAACACGGACCAAGGAGUCUAACAUGCCUGCGAGUGUUAGGGUGGUAAACCCUUGCGCGUAAUGAAAGUGAAAGUUGGGACCUCUUUGAGGGCACCGACGCCCGGCCUUGAACUCUUGUGACGGUGCUGCGGUAGAGCAUGUAUGUUGGGACCCGAAAGAUGGUGAACUAUGCCUGAAUAGGGCGAAGCCAGAGGAAACUCUGGUGGAGGCUCGUAGCGAUUCUGACGUGCAAAUCGAUCGUCAAAUUUGGGGUAUAGGGGGCGAAAGACUAAUCGAACCAUCUAGUAGCUGGUUCCUGCCGAA